RNAcentral lists this transfer RNA (71 nucleotides) under Loxodonta africana (African savanna elephant). It matches the Rfam family "tRNA". Rfam says of the family: Transfer RNA (tRNA) molecules are approximately 80 nucleotides in length. Their secondary structure includes four short double-helical elements and three loops (D, anti-codon, and T loops). Further hydrogen bonds mediate the characteristic L-shaped molecular structure. tRNAs have two regions of fundamental functional importance: the anti-codon, which is responsible for specific mRNA codon recognition, and the 3' end, to which the tRNAs corresponding amino acid is attached (by aminoacyl-tRNA synthetases). tRNAs cope with the degeneracy of the genetic code in two manners: having more than one tRNA (with a specific anti-codon) for a particular amino acid; and 'wobble' base-pairing, i.e. permitting non-standard base-pairing at the 3rd anti-codon position. The record is from Rfam by way of RNAcentral. Lineage: Eukaryota; Metazoa; Chordata; Mammalia; Proboscidea; Elephantidae.
ACAAUGGUAGUUUGGUGGUAGAAUUCUUGCCUUCCACGCAGGAGACCUGGGUUUGAUUCCUGCUCGAUGCA